GCAUAUCAGGUAUUAGAGGCACUGCCUGCCCAGUGACAUCCGUUCAACGGCCGCGGUAUCCUGACCGUGCAAAGGUAGCAUAAUCACUUGUUCUCUAAAUAAGGACUUGUAUGAAUGGCCACACGAGGGUUUUACUGUCUCUUACUUCCAAUCAGUGAAAUUGACCUUCCCGUGAAGAGGCGGGAAUAUUCCAAUAAGACGAGAAGACCCUAUGGAGCUUCAAUUAACUAGCCCAACAAGGACAAAUAGCAACCUACCAGGCAUAACCACCCUAUACUAUGGGCUAACAAUUUAGGUUGGGGUGACCUCGGAACAUAGAAAAACCUCCGAGAGAUAAAAGCCUAGACUAACAAGUCAAAGCAUUAUAUCAUUCAUUGAUCCAAACCACCUUUGAUCAACGGAACAAGUUACCCUAGGGAUAACAGCGCAAUCCUAUUUAAGAGUCCAUAUCGACAAUAGGGUUUACGACCUCGAUGUUGGAUCAGGACAUCCCAAUGGUGCAGCAGCUAUUAAUGGUUCGUUUGUUCAACGAUUAAAGUUCU
Molecule: ribosomal RNA, 542 nt
Filed under: Hipposideros larvatus
Lineage: Eukaryota; Metazoa; Chordata; Mammalia; Chiroptera; Hipposideridae
Description: partial 16S ribosomal RNA
Rfam family: Bacterial large subunit ribosomal RNA
Source: RNAcentral